GGAUGCGAUCAUACUAGCACUAAUGCACCAGAUCCCAUAAAAACUUCGCAGCUAAGCAUUCUUGGGGGAGAGUAGUACUAGGAUGGGUGACCUCCUAGAAAGUCCUCGUGUUGCAUCCC
Ribosomal RNA from Arabidopsis thaliana (thale cress), 119 nucleotides. NCBI's taxonomy places the organism in Eukaryota, Viridiplantae, Streptophyta, Magnoliopsida, Brassicales, Brassicaceae. The record is from Rfam.